RNAcentral lists this ribosomal RNA (459 nucleotides) under uncultured bacterium. RNAcentral describes it as "partial 16S ribosomal RNA". It matches the Rfam family "Bacterial small subunit ribosomal RNA", at positions 338 to 795 of the family's 1533-position model. The record is from RNAcentral.
CCUACGGGAGGCAGCAGUGAGGAAUAUUGGUCAAUGGCCGCAGGGCUGAACCAGCCAAGUCGCGUGAGGGAUGACGGUCCUAUGGAUUGUAAACCUCUUUUGGCAGGGAGCAAAGGGCGCCACGUGUGGCGCUUUGCGAGUACCUGAAGAAAAAGCAUCGGCUAACUCCGUGCCAGCAGCCGCGGUAAUACGGAGGAUGCGAGCGUUAUCCGUAUUUAUUGGGUUUAAAGGGUGCGCAGGCGGAAUGUCAAGUCAGCGGUAAAAUUUCGGGGCUCAACCCCGUCGUGCCGUUGAAACUGGCGUUCUUGAGUGAGCGAGAAGUAUGCGGAAUGCGUGGUGUAGCGGUGAAAUGCAUAGAUAUCACGCAGAACUCCGAUUGCGAAGGCAGCAUACCGGCGCUCAACUGACGCUCAUGCACGAAAGCGUGGGUAUCGAACAGGAUUAGAUACCCUGGUAGUC